CCUACGGGAGGCAGCAGUGAGGAAUUUUCCGCAAUGGGCGAAAGCCUGACGGAGCAAUACCGCGUGAGGGAUGAAGGAUUUUGGUCUGUAAACCUCUUUUCUCAAGAAAGAAGUUCUGACGGUACUUGAGGAAUAAGCAUCGGCUAACUCCGUGCCAGCAGCCGCGGUAAUACGGGGGAUGCAAGCGUUAUCCGGAAUGAUUGGGCGUAAAGCGCCUGUAGGUUGUUUAUUAAGUCCGUUGUUAAAGCCUAGGGCUCAACCCUAGAAAAGCAAUGGAAACUAGUAGACUAGAGUAUGGCAGGGGUAGAGGGAAUUUCUAGUGUAGCGGUGAAAUGCGUAGAUAUUAGAAAGAACACCGGUGGCGAAAGCGCUCUACUGGACCAUUACUGACACUCAGAGGCGAAAGCUAGGGUAGCAAAAGGGAUUAGAUACCCCUGUAGUCCUAGCCGUAAACGAUGGAUACUAGAUGUUGUGNAUAUGUACUAGUAUACGUAGACUACGUACGUUAACGUUACUACCGUCCGUCGGGUAGGUACGUCGUCGCGACGGGUAGGUAACGUACAAAUAGUAAGUUAGUACGGCGUGAGACGUCGCCGACGGACGACGACGAGGGAGGUAGG
RNAcentral lists this ribosomal RNA (620 nucleotides) under uncultured bacterium. RNAcentral's name for it is "bacterial SSU rRNA". The stretch from base 1 to 522 matches the Rfam family "Bacterial small subunit ribosomal RNA", at positions 338 to 873 of the family's 1533-position model. The record is from RNAcentral.